UGAGAGCCCAGUUCAUUAACCGGCCCGCAUACAGCUAGACCAGUGGGCCAGGCCUAUUGGCCGUUGCGGCCUCUAACUCUUCGGGGGCUAUAAAAGCUUCGAACGUCCUUCCUCAGCGAUAGGGUUUUCUGAACCCACGUUGAUGCCGCCGGAGAGGGGCGUCGCAGUUCAUCCCCGAAGCCAGGUACAGUGGAGUUGCCCAACUGUACUUAGGGAUUCGUGAGCGAAUCAAUAUGAAUAAGACUACUAGGAGCAGGGAGCUUGGUGUUAUU
Molecule: non-coding RNA, 272 nt
Organism: Phoenix dactylifera (date palm)
Lineage: Eukaryota; Viridiplantae; Streptophyta; Magnoliopsida; Arecales; Arecaceae
Source: RefSeq, a predicted model, not a curated record